Podarcis raffonei (Aeolian wall lizard) is the source of this 1313-nucleotide long non-coding RNA. RefSeq lists it as uncharacterized. NCBI's taxonomy places the organism in Eukaryota, Metazoa, Chordata, Lepidosauria, Squamata, Lacertidae. The record is from RefSeq and is a predicted model, not a curated record. The transcript has 3 exons.
GCAGGGCCAGAGAGUUGCCUGCUGCCACUCAAAGCAAGCAGAGGAGGGGUGGAUUCAGGGGUUAACCCGAUGGGAGGGUGUGUGUGUGUUGUGAAGCGUGUUACCUGAGCCCUUGGCGCGGUUAGGAACAUGUGCGCACAGGAGAAAACAGUCCUGUGCAGAGUGGGCUCCCGUGAAGAAGCUAUAAAGUGAGAUGUUAUCUCGGUGAGCCACUUUUGCCAUCUAGAGAUGUGGUGGCCAGCCAGGCAAAGAGGAAUCCCGCUGAAUGAGUGAAAAGCUAUCCACUGCUGAAAGUACCCAUGCUGGGAGCCAGAUGUCUCUAAUUCUCGGAGCAUGCCGCAUAUUCCAGAACAUCACUGCUCCAUAAAACAUUAUUAGAUUCCAUUUGUGUGUCUCGGAACUUCAAAGUUAUUGCACUGAAUAGAAGAGACUCUGUAUGUCCCCAAAGGAUUUGGUUUCUUAAGGAUUUAUCUAGCUACCUGAGGAGUGCCAUUGUCUAGCUCAUUUACUGUUUAUCAUCCUCACCGCUCAGCUAUCACAGACUAAAGAAAACAGGCAGAAAUUUGCAGGAGCCAAGGGGAAACCUGCUAAGAAUUGCUAAGUUAUUCAGGAAUUCACGAAGCUGGUUGUUUCUUCAAUUAGUUUCCCUUCCAUAGUCGCCCACCAAAGGGUGUUUUAGCCUUACAACAACCCUGUGAGGUAGGUUGGACAUGCUAUUCAUGCAUCUGUUCUGUAAGCACUUGCACUUGCUGAGUGUUUUUAAAAAGUGUUUUAAAGCCAUCAAACAAUAUGACGUUGGGCAUCUGAGACAUUUAAGCCGCAGAGGAACAGGCAGUGGCUAUGCUACGUUGCAGCCUCCAUUCCGUGCCAUUAGACUGAGCAGUCCCACCUCAAGUAGUAGAUCUGGGGUCACCAUCAAGAGGAAGCAGCUCCCAAUUAGUAGAUAGUGCAGGACCCUUUAAGAAGCUGCAAGAAGAAGACAUGCAAAAGUGGAUCCUACCCUAGUGGCCCCUUCACCCAACCUCCUUCUCUCUCUGCCUGCUGCAAGAUGCUCUGGGAGUACAGUAAAUUUGCUGCUGCAAGCAGGAACUGUUCAGAAAGGCUGAAGGUCUGUGUGAUCACUGAGCUGGUCAGCUCCAAUGGCUACGCACACCCUGCGCUACUCUGCAAUGCAACUCCAGCCUUUGAUUGUCGACUGUUAAUGAGAAAGCCUCACUUUUCAGCGCCCUGCUUCUUGGUGGUUGGUCAACUUAAUUCUUGUCUCUGUGAGGCAGGUGUGCGGAACCUUAGGCUCUCCAAAUGUUGUGAAGCUA